This 265-nucleotide ribosomal RNA is filed under the name uncultured bacterium. RNAcentral's name for it is "partial 16S ribosomal RNA". It matches the Rfam family "Bacterial small subunit ribosomal RNA", at positions 793 to 1055 of the family's 1533-position model. The record is from RNAcentral.
GUCCACGCUGUAAACGAUGGGUACUAGAUUUGGUGGGUCUUGACCCCUGCCGAAUCGGCGCUAACGCAAUAAGUACCCCGCCUGGGAAGUACGGUCGCAAGACUAAAACUCAAAGGAAUUGACGGGGCCCGCACAAGCGGUGGAUCAUGUGGUUUAAUUCGAAGCAACGCGAAGAACCUUACCUGGAUUUGACAUCUCCUGACAACCCUAGAGAUAGGGCUUCUGUAGCAAUACAGCAGGAAGACAGGUGCUGCAUGGCUGUCGU